Phascolarctos cinereus (koala) is the source of this 666-nucleotide non-coding RNA. NCBI's taxonomy places the organism in Eukaryota, Metazoa, Chordata, Mammalia, Diprotodontia, Phascolarctidae. The record is from RefSeq and is a predicted model, not a curated record.
GAUUGGCUGCCUGAGCCCGUCGCCCCGCGCUCUCCCUCUAAAGGGACGAAGCGUGUGGAGAGACCGGGCGGCCGGGGCCUGAGGGGUGCCCGGGAGCCUGGGGCCUCGGGCCUCGGGGAGGCGAGGAGGAGCUCACCUUCUAGGUAUUUACAUGAAGGCAGGAUCUGAUUUUGAUGGAGAUAUUUAUUAAUGUUACUAAUGGUCUGUGAUCUCAAUCAGGAACAUUUAUUUCUAUUAGGCAUCAUUGUGGUGCAGUAGACUGCUGAACCUGGAGUCAGGAAGAUCUGAGUUCAAAUCCAGCCUCAGACACUUAGCUGACCCUGGACCUCCCAAAAACCUUCAGCCCAAAUGAAUGAUGAUGAUGUCAAGAGUCUGAGACACUGUGGUGAACUUAUAGACAGAUUGUCCAUCGGAUCACAAUCUACAUGGAGAUCCAACAUUACGUCGUGAUGGGACUGGUUAAUAACUUUAAAGCAACCCAGAGAUGUAGCUGCUAAUGGGAAUCCUCUGAUGAGCAACUGGGGGCCACUGACACUUCCCAAGCAAAGGAAUAACAUGGACAGACUGAGGUGUUAAGAAUAUUCGUUUGCAGUUGAGUAGAGGAUAUAUUGAAGAGAGGAGAGACUGAGUGCUGGGAAACCAAUCAGGAGACUAUUGCAAUGGUCC